AGAGUUGAUCUGGCUACAGAACGAACGCUGGCGGCGCGUCUUAAGCAUGCAAGUCGAACGGCAAGAGGUAGCAAUACCUCCUAGAGUGGCGGACUGGUGAGUAACACGUGGGUGACAUACCCUUCAGAUGGGGAUAGCUAUUAGAAAUAGUAGAUAAUACCGAAUACGAGCACAGGGGUUAGAGAUCUGUGAGGAAAGGAGCUAAGGCUCCGCUGAAGGAAUGGCCUGCGGCCCAUUAGCUAGUUGGUGAGGUAAGAGCCCACCAAGGCGAUGAUGGGUAUCCGGCCUUAGAGGGUGAACGGACACAUUGGGACUGAGAUACGGCCCAGACUCCUACGGGAGGCAGCAGCUAAGAAUAUUCCGCAAUGGACGAAAGUCUGACGGAGCGACGCCGCGUGGAUGAAGAAGGCCGGAAGGUUGUAAAAUCCUUUUGAAACUGAAGAAUAAGCGUUGUAGGGAAUGACAGCGUGGUGACAGUAGGUUUUGAAUAAGCAACGGCUAAUUACGUGCCAGCCGCUGC
Molecule: ribosomal RNA, 520 nt
Filed under: uncultured bacterium
Lineage: Bacteria
Description: bacterial SSU rRNA
Rfam family: Bacterial small subunit ribosomal RNA
Source: RNAcentral